AGGAAACUAAAUCGUCUUGGUUGAGAUUAGUCUUUUGCGGAAGACCCUGGUGCAUACUUUUACAAUUAAUUCAAUAGUCUUUUUUUAACUUCUUCUUGCUGGAAAGAAUAGUUUAAUGAAGCUUUUGACAUUACGUUCUUUGAAUUGAGCUUAUCAACUUACCCGGUGAUUGUGAAAGCCACAAGCUAUAUAUUCUAGGUGCAAGACUACUAAAGAGCAACGAAUAUGCAAUCAGAUUUUCCCAAUUUAUAAAGAAUAAAACAGUUUGGA
Molecule: long non-coding RNA, 270 nt
Filed under: Nicotiana benthamiana
Lineage: Eukaryota; Viridiplantae; Streptophyta; Magnoliopsida; Solanales; Solanaceae
Description: long non-coding RNA (NBEN_LNC001508)
Source: RNAcentral